Long non-coding RNA from Peromyscus eremicus (cactus mouse), 523 nucleotides. RefSeq lists it as uncharacterized. The record is from RefSeq and is a predicted model, not a curated record. The transcript is spliced from 5 exons. Lineage: Eukaryota; Metazoa; Chordata; Mammalia; Rodentia; Cricetidae.
AAUGAGCUGGCAGGAAGGAAAAGUCUCCACAAGAACAGAGAUUCAAGGGUGUCAUGGGGUAGUAAGGAAAACUGGGAAUACCAAAAUGAUGACGUUAGGAACAGACUGUGUGGAGCUGGCAAGGGAGCUAGAAGGAGGAGCCCAUGUGGCUCCUGUGAAGGAGUAUGUGACAACCUUUGAAAAUCCAGACUCCAGUCUGGACCGAUCUUGGUGGGCUACAAGCUCGGGUUCAUGCCCAGGACUGUUUCGGGAGUAUGUGACAUCCACUUAGAAAAUGGACAAGUGAGACUCACAUUCAAAAUGCAAGGAGGAUAUGUCUGUGAUAAAAUGUAGAAUCAUGGUUUGCUAAGGAAAAGUUUAUCUGCUACUCUUAGACCAAGACCCAGAGAGAAGAUGGAUUGGAAAGCAAGGUGCUACUAGUUUGGGGUUAUUCUCUGCUGUGUGGAUGGCUUCAUUCUGGAGUUUGAAGGAAAUCAGAGGAGGGCAGGACAGGAGGCUCCGUGGUGAAGAGUACUUACUGAUU